RNAcentral lists this ribosomal RNA (471 nucleotides) under Staphylococcus sp. RNAcentral describes it as "bacterial SSU rRNA". It matches the Rfam family "Bacterial small subunit ribosomal RNA", at positions 971 to 1440 of the family's 1533-position model. The record is from RNAcentral. Lineage: Bacteria; Bacillati; Bacillota; Bacilli; Caryophanales; Staphylococcaceae.
UUACCAAAUCUUGACAUCCUUUGACAACUCUAGAGAUAGAGCCUUCCCCUUCGGGGGACAAAGUGACAGGUGGUGCAUGGUUGUCGUCAGCUCGUGUCGUGAGAUGUUGGGUUAAGUCCCGCAACGAGCGCAACCCUUAAGCUUAGUUGCCAUCAUUAAGUUGGGCACUCUAAGUUGACUGCCGGUGACAAACCGGAGGAAGGUGGGGAUGACGUCAAAUCAUCAUGCCCCUUAUGAUUUGGGCUACACACGUGCUACAAUGGACAAUACAAAGGGCAGCGAAACCGCGAGGUCAAGCAAAUCCCAUAAAGUUGUUCUCAGUUCGGAUUGUAGUCUGCAACUCGACUACAUGAAGCUGGAAUCGCUAGUAAUCGUAGAUCAGCAUGCUACGGUGAAUACGUUCCCGGGUCUUGUACACACCGCCCGUCACACCACGAGAGUUUGUAACACCCGAAGCCGGUGGAAGUAACC